RNAcentral lists this ribosomal RNA (245 nucleotides) under uncultured Bacteroidota bacterium. RNAcentral describes it as "uncultured Bacteroidetes bacterium partial 16S ribosomal RNA". It matches the Rfam family "Bacterial small subunit ribosomal RNA", at positions 524 to 768 of the family's 1533-position model. Lineage: Bacteria; Pseudomonadati; Bacteroidota. The record is from RNAcentral.
GACGAAGGAUGCAAGCGUUAUCCGGAUUCAUUGGGUUUAAAGGGUGCGUAGGCGGACUUGUAAGUCAGUGGUGAAAUCUCUCAGCUUAACUGAGAAACUGCCAUUGAUACUGCAAGUCUUGAGUACAGAUGAUGUUGGCGGAAUAUGACAUGUAGCGGUGAAAUGCUUAGAUAUGUCAUAGAACACCGAUUGCGAAGGCAGCUGACAAAACUGUAACUGACGCUGAGGCACGAAAGUGCGGGGAU